This is a long non-coding RNA of Sitodiplosis mosellana (orange wheat blossom midge), 1054 nucleotides long. RefSeq lists it as uncharacterized. The transcript has 3 exons. The record is from RefSeq and is a predicted model, not a curated record. Lineage: Eukaryota; Metazoa; Arthropoda; Insecta; Diptera; Cecidomyiidae.
UUAGCUGUGUUUUUGUUUUUUGUUGUGCUUUGAGUUAGUUCGAUGCAAUGCAGUGAAUCAAACGAAGGAAAGGUUGAUAUUUGCACAGCUCAUAUUUCGGCAUGGCGACAGAAUUAUUUGGAAAGCUUAUAACAAUGACCUCUUCAAAGACAAAGUUCAUUGGCCACAGGGUUUCGGUCAGUUAACGAAUUUAGGAAAGCAACAACAGUAUGAAGUGGGGAAAUACUUCCGUCGACGUUAUGCAAAGCUCCUUGGAGACGGUUCUUAUUCACCAGACAAAGUAUUCACUGUAUCGUCCGAACUUGAUCGAACUAUAAACUCCGCUUCUUUAGUGUUGACCGGUUUAUUUCCCACACAAAACAAUCGAAUUUGGAAUCAAGAAUUGGGCAGAAUUUGGGAUCCAAUUCCAAUAUAUAUUGUACCGAGAUCAAGAGAUUAUCUCAUAAUUGUUGAAGGGAUGUCCACGGUUCGGAAAAGCUCUGAGAGAAUAUCAGAAAUCUCCAAAAGUGCAAGCAUUAAUGGAAAGGAAUCGAGAAUUAUUUGGAUAUUUAGAAACUCAUACCGGUCAACCAAUUCGCAGCAUAGAACAAUUGAAGGAUUUACACGGGACACUUGAAGUCGAGCAACUCAUGAACAGAACGUAUACUAUUUUCUCAAUUUUGGUCAUUUCUUCUGACAAAUAUUCGAAUUAAUAAAAUUUCAUUAUUGGUCGUAAUUUUAGCCUUGAAGUUUUCGAUCUACACAUUCCGCCAUAUUCAUCCGGUCUUCUCUUCGAAUUGUAUGAAACGCAUUUUUUUACGUACAAUUUUAUAGAAAUUCAACAGCAGAACAUCUGAAUCUGAAUCCAAUAAAUAUUCCAAAUUGUGGUACAAAAUGUCCACUCAAUCAAUUUUAUGAAUUAUGUAAAGAUAUUUUGCCUGUAGACUUUGAAUCAGAGUGUCAAUUGUCGAUUGAGUAAUAAUGUUUAGACCAAAACAACGAAAGAUGUUUUUUAUAUUGUAAACUUUUAAUAUGACACGAUCAAUAAAAUAUACUUUGUGCUUUGAACAUUCUA